GUGAGACAGUUCGGUCCCUAUCCGUCGCGGGCGUUGGAAAUUUGAGAGGAGCUGUCCUUAGUACGAGAGGACCGGGAUGGACUUACCGCUGGUGUACCAGUUGUUCUGCCAAGGGCAUUGCUGGGUAGCUAUGUAGGGAAGGGAUAAACGCUGAAAGCAUCUAAGUGUGAAGCCCACCUCAAGAUGAGAUUUCCCAUUUCUUUAAGAAAGUAAGAUUCCUGAGAGAUGAUCAGGUAGAUAGGUCAGGAGUGGAAGUACAGUGAUGUAUGGAGCGGACUGAUACUAAUCGAUCGAGGACUUAACCAAU
This 307-nucleotide ribosomal RNA is filed under the name Enterococcus faecium. RNAcentral describes it as "bacterial LSU rRNA". It matches the Rfam family "Bacterial large subunit ribosomal RNA", at positions 2621 to 2925 of the family's 2925-position model. The record is from RNAcentral. Lineage: Bacteria; Bacillati; Bacillota; Bacilli; Lactobacillales; Enterococcaceae.